AAAAAGGAAACAAUUAUACCCCUAAACAACAAACCAGCGCGUAACGACUGAAAAGUCGUUCUUGCUUCUGCUUGCAUACUCGAAUAUCUCUCUUUCGUCUCUCAUCCCUGUCUCAAUUCUGAUAGAUCAGUUUCUUCCUUCGUUAAAGCUACUAUUUGUGAGUAACAAACACUUUCCUAUCGCAGAUCGAGUGAAAAGUCUACUG
This 205-nucleotide unclassified non-coding RNA is filed under the name Hevea brasiliensis (rubber tree). The record is from RNAcentral. Lineage: Eukaryota; Viridiplantae; Streptophyta; Magnoliopsida; Malpighiales; Euphorbiaceae.